UACAGAGGUCCCGAGCGUUGUUCGGAUUCACUGGGCGUAAAGGGUGCGUAGGCGGGUCUUUAAGUCAGGGGUGAAAUCCUGGAGCUCAACUCCAGAACUGCCUUUGAUACUGAAGAUCUUGAGUCCGGGAGAGGUGAGUGGAACUGCGAGUGUAGAGGUGAAAUUCGUAGAUAUUCGCAAGAACACCAGUGGCGAAGGCGGCUCACUGGCCCGGUACUGACGCUGAGGCACGAAAGCGUGGGGAGCAAACAGG
Molecule: ribosomal RNA, 253 nt
Filed under: uncultured bacterium
Lineage: Bacteria
Description: partial 16S ribosomal RNA
Rfam family: Bacterial small subunit ribosomal RNA
Source: RNAcentral